This 292-nucleotide ribosomal RNA is filed under the name uncultured bacterium. Its description in RNAcentral is "partial 16S ribosomal RNA". The record is from RNAcentral.
GGACUACUGGGGUAUCUAAUCCCGUUCGCUCCCCUGGCUUUCGCGCCUCAGCGUCAGGACACCCCCAGCGAGCUGUCUUCACCAUUGGCGUUCCAAGUGAUAUCUACGCAUUUCACCGCUCCACCACUUGUUCCGCUCGCCCCUGAGUGCCUCGAGAUGUCCAGUAUGCCCAGCAGUUCCACGGUUGAGCCGUGGGAUUUCACAAGACACUUAAACAUCCGCCUACGCGCGCUUUAAGCCCAGUGAUUCCGCCUAACGCUUGGCACCUCUGUAUUACCGCGGCGGCUGGCAC